Molecule: long non-coding RNA, 2814 nt
Filed under: Homo sapiens (human)
Lineage: Eukaryota; Metazoa; Chordata; Mammalia; Primates; Hominidae
Description: HSALNT0233069
Source: RNAcentral
GCAGUAAGCACUGCUGGCUGCCCACCCAACCGCCCUUACCCCCUUUUUUGCUCCUGGAACUCUUGUGUCACAGGCCAAUCCUGAUGAGUCUACGUUGGUGAAGUGUGAGCCUCCCAUUCUCCUUGCCAGUGAUUGGCUUACAGGUUCCCUUCAAAUUAAGUCAUCUCUUCUUCAAGGCUCAGUCAUAUAAAUUUCAAAGGACACGUGGCCAUGCUCCAUACCAGCUGCUCUGAGAACCAGUCCUGGAUGGCAUCAGUUGGGAUUGUUGACAGACUUGAAAAUUACCCGGAUGACAUCUGAGGAAGGGAAUGACUAAGAGAAGGAUUCUAGAUGCAAAGCACUUCAUAAAAACACAUUUCUCCGACUAGCCCAUGAUCCCAGAGUCAGUCCUGAAGCCCAUGCUUUCUGUGAUCGAGGCUUCAUUAUCCUAGGAAUUGAUGGGACAACUGUUGAUAAACAAACCCAUGAAUCGCCUCCAACCCUUUAAGCCCAUCACUUUGACCUCCUCAUUGGGGCGCUCUGCCAAGCUUUGAACCAGGAGCUCACCGGUGGAUUUGUGACUCAUCUCCCAAAUGCUCCCUGAAGAGCUGCAAAUAAACAGUGGAUUGGCCAACAGACACGCAGCAGGGGAGAGUAGAGACGCCUCCAGAGGACCCGAGGGAGCUGAUGGGAGGGUGUGGGGCUGACUCCAUGUACUCCAGAACCAGACACGGCAAUCACAGCAGACUAGUUCCAAUCACCUGAGCUUUGCAGUAUUUCAAAUACCUCCCCCAAAAGGCUUUAGCAAACUCAGUAGUGCCACGUUGGCACCAGGGAAAGCAACACUCCUGUCACUAAGGGGCUGGGAUGUGAUCUGGAGUCACUUUGGGCAGGCUCAGAAGGUCGUGACACCACCACAAAUGAGGCCAGCCAGUGCCGUCUGGUUCAGAUACUGGCUGAGAGCAAUCCUCAAUUUUCCUCUAGUUCCUUGCUGGGGAUUCUAGCCCGUGUUGCUCUAGAACAGUGGUUCUCUUCUGAGGACGAUUCUGCCCCCAGUCUCCCACCAGGGGGACAUUUGGCAAUGUUUGGAGACAUUUUUGAUGGUCACAGCUUGAAGGAGGAUGAUAGUGGCAUCUCAUGGGUAGAUCCCGGGAUGCUGCUAGUCUCCUACAGCGCACAGGGCAGCCCCUGCAACAAAUUAUUCAGCCUCAAAUGCCAACAGCGCUGAGGCUGAGAAACUCUGGUCUAGAAUCAGGGCACUUGAAACCUCCUGGGCAUCCAAUCUGGAAUCAUGACCCCUAAGCACCUGAGGGAAGCUAUGGACUCUGUCCCUAGGGACAAAAAAAUACUACAUAUAUAUUAAUAUACGCAUACGCAGACAAAGCUUUGCAGCUUUGCAGGAGGAUUCAUCAACCCCUGGUGUCCACUCAUGAAUACCCCUCAAUCCCAGACACCCAAGGAUAUUGAGAUAGGGUACUCUUAGGGGACAGUCUAUUUUUUAUCCUUACAAAUAAAAUGCUGUGUCAAGACCAGCGAUAUGAGGCCUGCUUAUGGCAUACAUAACUGGGACACAGCAUGCUCAAAGGCAUAGGUCAGGAAAAUCCCACACAAUCGGAGACAGGGCUGGGCUUACCAUGCCAGAGCCUUUCCUUGCCUUCUCCAGCUCUUGGAAAAAGUUUUCUAGCUCUUUACCUUCAAUAUACCCAUUUCCUGUAAAAAGAGAGAGAAAAAAUCAAUCUCAGCACUAAAUAGUAAGGGGGGCACGGGGUGGGCAUGUCGGGGGCUUCGUGGAGAAUGUCUUCUCCCAGCUGGCCAACAGGCAGGUGUCUAGGCCAGUGGAGCUAGGGGUGUGGGUCCAGCCCUCAGGGCAUUUGCACCUAGAGAUCCAAGAUGAACAACAUACAUUCAGCAGCUAGAAAAUACUGGGAGGAACUAGCACAGGGUCCGAGAGGACAGAGGAGAGCAGAAGUUGGCAGCUUCCGAAUCUGUCCUUAAUGUCUGGGCAAGCACGAGGUGGCAGAGGUGUGACAGGUCAUCAGCAAGUGGCGGGACCUGGUCAGAGGCAGAACUGGGGUCCCUGGAGUUCAGAAGGUGUAGCGGGUUGGAGUGCUCCCCCAGAAUGGGACCUUAUUUGGAAACAGGGUCAUUGCAGAUGUCAUUAGUUAAGAUGAGUCAUACUGGAUUGGGGUGGGCCCUAAAUCCAGUGGUCGGUGUCCUUGUAAGAAGGCUUCAUGGAGACACAGAGACCCAGGAAGAAGACCAUGUGAAGAUGGAGGCAGAGGCCAGUGUGAUGUGUGUACAAGCCAAGGAACGCUGUGGGCUGCCAGCAACCACUAGAAGCCAGGAGGGAGGCAGGGAGCAGAUUCACCCUCAGAGCUCUAGCAGAGCCUGCCGACACAUUUAUUUCACACUUCUAGCCUCUAGAAAUGUGAGAGAAUACAUUUCUGUUGUGUUAAGUCACCCAGUUUGUAGUGCCUUGCUAUAACAGUCCUAGGAAACAAAAACAGAAGGGCCCAGAAAAGAGAGAACCACAGGGCAUCUGUCCUAUGGGAUGUCACCUCCCACCCCCUGCCCUACCUGAGACUUGGUCACAGGGAUCAAGGGUAGGAGAGGCAUCCCACCUGGUAAUGAAGAGAGGAGGCUCUGAGGCCUGUGGAUGCAGAUUUAAAGACUGGUUCUGCUGUGCUUACCAACAGUGUGACUUUGAGACAGUUAUUGAACCCAUCUCAUCUGCAAAGUGGGUUAUUAUAAUUAAACAGGAUUUUGUGUGGAAAGCCCAUCCUCUAGUCAUUAUGAGUGCAGCAUAAAUGUUGUUACUGAGUUCCAUUACCAGAA